GACGAACCGAGCGAACGUUGUUCGGAAUCACUGGGCAUAAAGGGCGCGUAGGCGGGGAUGUAAGUCCGUGGUGAAAUACCCUGGCUCAACCAGGGAACUGCCUCGGAUACUGUGUCUCUCGAGGAAGAUAGGGGCUUGCGGAACGGCUGGUGGAGCGGUGAAAUGCGUUGAUAUCAGUCGGAACUCCGGUGGCGAAGGCGGCAAGCUGGAUCUUUUCUGACGCUGAGGCGCGAAAGCCAGGGGAGCAAACGGG
RNAcentral lists this ribosomal RNA (253 nucleotides) under uncultured bacterium. RNAcentral describes it as "partial 16S ribosomal RNA". It matches the Rfam family "Bacterial small subunit ribosomal RNA", at positions 524 to 776 of the family's 1533-position model. The record is from RNAcentral.